Long non-coding RNA from Ictalurus punctatus (channel catfish), 1933 nucleotides. NCBI's taxonomy places the organism in Eukaryota, Metazoa, Chordata, Actinopteri, Siluriformes, Ictaluridae. The record is from Ensembl.
GUGGAAGGCUUCAAGGAUAGAGUGGCCUCUGGGGUUGAUGGGAAAUGUUAAUGCUUCCUGCUAGUCUCUGAUGAAGACUGGGGAAGAGGAUGGAACAUGGAUAUUGUGGGGAUGUGUGCUUAGUGAAGCAUGGCAGCUCAGCUUGACAUCCAGCAUCUCUCUCUCUCUCUCUCUCUCUCUCUCUCUCUUUUUUUCUUUCUUUAUUACUUCACAUUUUCCACUCUUAUUGGAACAUGGAUAAGCCUUCCUUUCUUAUAAGCCAGGCCUUAAGAAGAUCUCCUAUUUCCUCCUGUUAAUGGUGGAGCUUGAAAUCACCUGAUCCAUCACUGUCAGCUUCAUGGCGAAUGCCGUCUUCGUUUUGAUGGAUCGCUUGCUGCUGGUGAACUUUUCAGCAUAGCGGGUGCCAUGUCUCGCUCCGUCUAUGUCUUUGUGCUCCAUGACAAGCCAGUGUCACGGGAAAGAAAAAAAACAUUCUAUCAAUUUUCUGCACUCAAACUGUAUUGGAGUGUACUGAGCAGACUGCGCACUGCAGGGGAGAAUGACUAAUACCUACGCAGCAGCUAUCCUGGUUUCCCUAAGACAUUCUCCAGACAUCAGUGUGUGUGUUCAGACAUAAAGGGCUGUCUCUGCCCCUAGACAGAUGCCCAGACUGAGUGAUUCAGCACUACUGAAGCACAGCCAAGACCACUCUGUCCUGUGAUGACAAGAGCCAUAACGUCCUGUGAGAUGCUCCUGGACAGAACAAGCAUCUGUCAAAAUAGGCCGGCCUCAGUGGACGCCUCGCUAAUGGCAGCCGAAUCGAGAUAGAGAGGAAACAAGAGGACAAGCAGGAGAUACAGAGGACAAGGAGGAUUCGUUUAGCAUGAAGUUUGUGAUUCUUUUUUUAUUUAUUUUUUGCAUAGAAAUUUGCAAAAAAUGACACGUUCUGAUAAUCGAGAUAGAGAGGAAACAGUCGGACAAGCAGGAGAUACAGAGGACAAGGAGGACUCAUUUUGCAUGAAGUUUUUUUGUUUCUGUUGGGUUUUUUUGCAUAGAAAUUAGGGGAAAAAAAUGACGUCCUGAUAAAAAAAUCAGGAAUGAGAUGCUACGUUUUCUACAAUUAAAAUUAGUUGUAACAUGCAGUUCAUGGAUAGUCAUGGUGGAGUACAUAUACAUGCUGGUGCUGCUGUAAAGGAACUGACCUUAUAGGUAAAAGAAAAAAAAAAUCACAUGUGAUCAAAAAAGAUCACAUGUUAAAAAUAAAAGUUUCAUGUAGGAAAAAAUACUUGUAAAAGUAAAUCAAUCGUGUGAUAUCAUUAACGAAUCACCUGUGGAAAUAAGAGAUUCAUGUAAAAGCAUCCUAUAUUAAAAUAAAUGAAUCAUGGGGGGUGGGGGGUCAUGAAAAUAUCUGAAUCAUGAAAAAAAAAUUAUGUGAAAGUAAAUGAAUCAUAUGCAAAGUGAAAUAAUGUUUAAAUUCAUGUGAAAACAUCACACCAUUAAUGAGUCAAGGGAACAAAUCAAGUAGAAAUGAAUGAAUCAUGUUGACAAAAUACACAUGAAUAAUACUGCAUCAUGUCUAAAAAAAUUCAUAUUUGUAUAAAGGAAUCAUAUGGGGAAUAAAAUCAGACAUAAAUAAAGGAAUCAUUUUGGUGAAUCACAUGUGGAAAUAAAUUAAUCAUUUGGGGGAAUCACAUGUGGAAAUAAAUGAAUCAUUCAGGGGGAAUCAUGUGGAAAUAAAUGAAUCAUUUGGGGUGACUCACAUGUGGAAAUAAAUGAAUCAUUUGGGGGGAAUCACAUGUGGAAAUUAAUGAAUCAUUUGGGGGGAAUCACAUGUGGAAAUAAAUGAAUCAUUUGCGGGAAUCACGUGUAGAAAUAAAUGAAUCAUUAGUGGGGAUUCACAUGUGGAAAUAAAUGAAUCCUGUAAAAAAAAAAACAGUCAAAAUAAAUAAAUCAU